GACGAACGCUGGCGGCGUGCCUAAUACAUGCAAGUAGAACGCUGAAGGAGGAGCUUGCUUCUCUGGAUGAGUUGCGAACGGGUGAGUAACGCGUAGGUAACCUGCCUGGUAGCGGGGGAUAACUAUUGGAAACGAUAGCUAAUACCGCAUAAGAGUAGAUGUUGCAUGACAUUUGCUUAAAAGGUGCAAUUGCAUCACUACCAGAUGGACCUGCGUUGUAUUAGCUAGUUGGUGGGGUAACGGCUCACCAAGGCGACGAUACAUAGCCGACCUGAGAGGGUGAUCGGCCACACUGGGACUGAGACACGGCCCAGACUCCUACGGGAGGAAGCAGUAGGGAAUCUUCGGCAAUGGACGGAAGUCUGACCGAGCAACGCCGCGUGAGUGAAGAAGGUUUUCGGAUCGUAAAGCUCUGUUGUAAGAGAAGAACGAGUGUGAGAGUGGAAAGUUCACACUGUGACGGUAUCUUACCAGAAAGGGACGGCUAACUACGUG
This 495-nucleotide ribosomal RNA is filed under the name uncultured bacterium. RNAcentral's name for it is "partial 16S ribosomal RNA". It matches the Rfam family "Bacterial small subunit ribosomal RNA", at positions 28 to 507 of the family's 1533-position model. The record is from RNAcentral.